Molecule: long non-coding RNA, 322 nt
Filed under: Brassica napus (rape)
Lineage: Eukaryota; Viridiplantae; Streptophyta; Magnoliopsida; Brassicales; Brassicaceae
Description: long non-coding RNA (BNAP_LNC007367)
Source: RNAcentral
UUUGGUGUUUUUUUGGUCAGCCCCAAAGUUCAUGUUUGUUUUGGCAAUUCGUGUAAAGUUGAGGUUUUUUUUGGCCGAAUUCUCAAUUGAAUAUCCCUUAUAUUUAUUUUACUUUUUUUUUUGAAAAAAAAACGUCGUCUUCCAUUUUUUCUGAUGAGGAUGUGUCUAUAUUUAUUUUACUCUUUACCACAUAGCUUUGCUUAUGUUAGUAAAUACUCCCUCCGUAUACAAAUAUAUAAUGUUUUGGUUUUUUUACUUGUAUACAAAUAUAUGAUGUUUUACUUUUAAUUAAUGCAAUUUGUUUUAAAAAUAAAUUAUAAAU